AUGCCUUAUUGAGGUGUGUGUCCACAAGGAUUGGUGGGUGUCACCUGCAGGCUGUCACCCACCCGCCUUUCUUGCUCAUGGACCAGGCUUUGGAGAUUGCCUGCCACGGUGCUUCAUGGGCUGAUGCCCUCAGCAAGACAGCAGUCAGGUAUCCAGAAAAUCACAAAGCAGAGUUACAGCCUGAAACUGAAGCCCCAAACCACUUCUGAGUGGCAGGUUUAAAAGCAGCUGAGGAACCCAUGCAGGAAACCAGCACCUAAAUUUCCCCAGAAGCUGCAGGGAGGAUGUCCCAUUAUUCAUUUAGUGCCUGGAGCUGUGCUUUGCCAUGGAAAUUCAGCAUGGCCCUGAGAAAACCAUGAGGAG
Molecule: long non-coding RNA, 363 nt
Organism: Zonotrichia leucophrys gambelii
Lineage: Eukaryota; Metazoa; Chordata; Aves; Passeriformes; Passerellidae
Exons: 3
Source: RefSeq, a predicted model, not a curated record